This 75-nucleotide transfer RNA is filed under the name bacterium. RNAcentral's name for it is "tRNA-Lys". It matches the Rfam family "tRNA". From Rfam's summary of the family: Transfer RNA (tRNA) molecules are approximately 80 nucleotides in length. Their secondary structure includes four short double-helical elements and three loops (D, anti-codon, and T loops). Further hydrogen bonds mediate the characteristic L-shaped molecular structure. tRNAs have two regions of fundamental functional importance: the anti-codon, which is responsible for specific mRNA codon recognition, and the 3' end, to which the tRNAs corresponding amino acid is attached (by aminoacyl-tRNA synthetases). tRNAs cope with the degeneracy of the genetic code in two manners: having more than one tRNA (with a specific anti-codon) for a particular amino acid; and 'wobble' base-pairing, i.e. permitting non-standard base-pairing at the 3rd anti-codon position. RNAcentral also lists the same sequence under 3 other names. The record is from RNAcentral.
GGGCCGGUAGCUCAGCGGUAGAGCAAGUGACUCUUAAUCACUAGGUCGUGGGUUCGAAUCCCACCCGGCUCACCA